Triticum aestivum (bread wheat) is the source of this 525-nucleotide long non-coding RNA. RefSeq lists it as uncharacterized. NCBI's taxonomy places the organism in Eukaryota, Viridiplantae, Streptophyta, Magnoliopsida, Poales, Poaceae. The transcript is spliced from 3 exons. The record is from RefSeq and is a predicted model, not a curated record.
CAGGGCUCUCUGCAGGUCGCCGGACGCCGGACACCAGUCCAGAGCAGUUCGAAAUAGAAAUGAAGAGAAAGAGGACUCUGCAUAGUUGGUUUGCAAGUAGUUCAAAUACACUUCCUAUUAUUCCUGAAUCCAAUGUUGCCCCAAUUAAUGUUAUUGUUCAGCCUACCCUCAUAGAGAACAUAAUCCCUGAUGAUCCAACAAAUGAGAGCACUAAUCCCUCGGUUGAUGAGAGAACUAAUCCCUCGGUUGAUGAGAGCACCAAUCCCACUUCAAAUGAGAGAACCAAUCCCCAACCGAUGAGAGCACAAACCAACCAGCACCACCAACACAAUAUAUAUUGGAAUUUCAUCCAAGAAAAAUCGCAAAGGACAUUUGCCUCCUGAGUAUGAUGUUAUUUCUUAGAGAUGGCUUGCAGUUUGUCACUUGCAUUUUGGUGUGGAGGAGUUCUACAACUACAAUAUUGUUAGUAAGAAGCAACACCAGUAUCUUGUCUUUGCCUUAUUUUGGUUGAUUCUCUAGUACUUG